This 439-nucleotide ribosomal RNA is filed under the name uncultured bacterium. RNAcentral describes it as "partial 16S ribosomal RNA". It matches the Rfam family "Bacterial small subunit ribosomal RNA", at positions 339 to 795 of the family's 1533-position model. The record is from RNAcentral.
CUACGGGAUGCUGCAGUGAGAAAUAUUGCACAAUGGGGGGAACCCUGAUGCAGCAACGCCGCGUGGAAGAUGACGCAUUUCGGUGUGUAAACUCCUUUUAUAUGUCAAGAAAAUGACGGUAGCAUAUGAAUAAGCACCGGCUAACUCCGUGCCAGCAGCCGCGGUAAUACGGAGGGUGCAAGCGUUACUCGGAAUCACUGGGCGUAGAGGACGCGUAGGCGGGUUGGAAAGUCAGGUGUGAAAUCCUACAGCUUAACUGUAGAACUGCACUUGAAACUUCUAAUCUAGAGUAUGGGAGGGGGAGAUGGAAUUAGUGGUGUAGGGGUAAAAUCCGUAGAUAUCACUAGGAGUACCUAAAGCGAAGGCGAUCUCCUGGAACAUUACUGACGCUAAGGCGUGAAAGCGUGGGGAGCAAACAGGAUUAGAUACCCUCGUAGUC